Molecule: ribosomal RNA, 445 nt
Filed under: uncultured bacterium
Lineage: Bacteria
Description: bacterial SSU rRNA
Rfam family: Bacterial small subunit ribosomal RNA
Source: RNAcentral
GUAGGGAAUAUUGGGCAAUGGAGGCAACUCUGACCCAGCCAUGCCGCGUGCAGGAUGAAGGCGCUCAGCGUUGUAAACUGCUUUUAACUGGGAAGAACGGCAUUUUUGCGAAGAUGUGUGACGGUACCAGUGGAAUAAGCACCGGCUAACUCCGUGCCAGCAGCCGCGGUAAUACGGAGGGUGCAAGCGUUGUCCGGAUUUAUUGGGUUUAAAGGGUGCGUAGGUGGGACUUCAAGUCUGGUUUGAAAGCUGGUGGCUCAACCAUCAGAUGUGGCUGGAAACUGAGGUUCUUGAAUGGCGUAGCGGUAGCCGGAAUGGGUCAUGUAGCGGUGAAAUGCAUAGAUAUGACCCGGAACUCCGAUUGCGAAGGCAGGCUACUGGGCGCCGAUUGACACUGAGGCACGAGAGCAUGGGUAGCAAACAGGAUUAGAAACCCCAGUAGUCC